RNAcentral lists this ribosomal RNA (493 nucleotides) under uncultured Hymenobacter sp. RNAcentral describes it as "partial 16S ribosomal RNA". The record is from RNAcentral. Lineage: Bacteria; Pseudomonadati; Bacteroidota; Cytophagia; Cytophagales; Hymenobacteraceae.
CACGGAGUUAGCCGGUGCUUAUUCCUCAGGUACCGUCAGUUGAGCACGCAUGCCCUUUUUCUUCCCUGAGAAAAGCCGUUUACAACCCAGAAGGCCUUCAUCCGGCACGCGGCAUGGCUGGGUCAGGCUCUCGCCCAUUGCCCAAUAUUCCCUACUGCUGCCUCCCGUAGGAGUCUGGCCCGUAUCUCAGUGCCAGUGUGGGGGAUCACCCUCUCAGGUCCCCUAGACAUCGUCGCCUUGGUGGGCCGUUACCCCGCCAACUAGCUAAUGUCACGCAACCCCAUCCUUGACCAAUAAAUCUUUACUCAUUGUGUGAUGCCACACUGUGAGUUUAUGCGGUAUUAAUCCGCCUUUCGGCGGGCUAUCCCCCAGUCAAGGGCAGGUUGGUUACGCGUUACGCACCCGUGCGCCACUAGUGGUAUUGCUACCACCCGUUCGACUUGCAUGUAUUAGGCCUGCCGCUAGCGUUCAUCCUGAGCCAGGAUCAAACUCU